UACGGAGGGUGCAAGCGUUGUCCGGAUUUAUUGGGUUUAAAGGGUGCGUAGGCGGCCUUAUAAGUCAGUGGUGAAAGCCCAUCGCUCAACGAUGGAACUGCCAUUGAUACUGUAAGGCUUGAGUACAGACGAGGUAGGCGGAAUUGAUGGUGUAGCGGUGAAAUGCAUAGAUACCAUCAAGAACACCGAUUGCGUAGGCAGCUUACUAGGCUGUAACUGACGCUGAGGCACGAAAGCGUGGGGAGCAAACAGG
Molecule: ribosomal RNA, 253 nt
Filed under: uncultured bacterium
Lineage: Bacteria
Description: partial 16S ribosomal RNA
Rfam family: Bacterial small subunit ribosomal RNA
Source: RNAcentral